CCUACGGGAGGCAGCAGUAAGGAAUAUUGGUCAAUGGAGGCAACUCUGAACCAGCCAUGCCGCGUGCAGGAAGACUGCCCUAUGGGUUGUAAACUGCUUUUAUCCGGGAAUAAACCUGCUUACGUGUAAGUAGCUGAAUGUACCGGAAGAAUAAGGAUCGGCUAACUCCGUGCCAGCAGCCGCGGUAAUACGGAGGAUCCAAGCGUUAUCCGGAUUUAUUGGGUUUAAAGGGUGCGUAGGCGGCCUGUUAAGUCAGGGGUUGAAAGACGGUAGCUCAACUAUCGCAGUGCCCUUGAUACUGAUGGGCUUGAAUGGACUAGAGGUAGGCGGAAUGAGACAAGUAGCGGUGAAAUGCAUAGAUAUGUCUCAGAACACCGAUUGCGAAGGCAGCUUACUAUGGUCUUAUUGACGCUGAGGCACGAAAGCGUGGGGAUCAAACAGGAUUAGAUACCCUGGUAGUCCCACGACCUAACGAUANACACUCGUCUGUUGGUCG
This 496-nucleotide ribosomal RNA is filed under the name uncultured bacterium. Its description in RNAcentral is "bacterial SSU rRNA". It matches the Rfam family "Bacterial small subunit ribosomal RNA", at positions 338 to 830 of the family's 1533-position model. The record is from RNAcentral.